Molecule: ribosomal RNA, 586 nt
Filed under: uncultured bacterium
Lineage: Bacteria
Description: partial 16S ribosomal RNA
Rfam family: Bacterial small subunit ribosomal RNA
Source: RNAcentral
UGGGGAAUUUUGGACAAUGGGCGAAAGCCUGAUCCAGCAAUGCCGCGUGUGUGAAGAAGGCCUUCGGGUUGUAAAGCACUUUUGUCCGGAAAGAAAUCCUUGGCUCUAAUACAGUCGGGGGAUGACGGUACCGGAAGAAUAAGCACCGGCUAACUACGUGCCAGCAGCCGCGGUAAUACGUAGGGUGCAAGCGUUAAUCGGAAUUACUGGGCGUAAAGCGUGCGCAGGCGGUUUGCUAAGACCGAUGUGAAAUCCCCGGGCUCAACCUGGGAACUGCAUUGGUGACUGGCAGGCUAGAGUAUGGCAGAGGGGGGUAGAAUUCCACGUGUAGCAGUGAAAUGCGUAGAGAUGUGGAGGAAUACCGAUGGCGAAGGCAGCCCCCUGGGCCAAUACUGACGCUCAUGCACGAAAGCGUGGGGAGCAAACAGGAUUAGAUACCCUGGUAGUCCACGCCCUAAAACGAUGUCAACUAGUUGUUGGGGAUUCAUUUCCUUAGUAACGUAGCUAACGCGUGAAGUUGACCGCCUGGGGAGUACGGUCGCAAGAUUAAAACUUAAAGGAAUUGACGGGGUCAUAGCUGUUUCCU